AGAUGUGGAUUUCCAAGGGUGAGUAUGAUGAGUCUGGUCCAUCCAUUGUCCACAGGAAAUGCUUUUAAGUUCUGAAAAAUGCUUUGAUGGCGAGUACUUUGUGCAUUUAGUUGGCUUUUUUCGUGUCAAGGUGUCAUGAACUUCAGUAUGGUUGAUAUGGAGAAGUGUUGAGAUUGAGUCAUUAAAGGAUGGUAAACUCUGUGUCAUGAACUUCAGUAUGGUUGAUAUGGAGAAGUGUUGAGAUUGAGUCAUUAAAGGAUGGUAAACUCUGAUGUAUCAAAUAGCUUUCCAUCUGUUGCAAUUCAUGUUGUAAUGUUCCCUUUGAAUUUAAAGGGCAACACUUUGGUACUCGUCAUUAC
RNAcentral lists this long non-coding RNA (359 nucleotides) under Manihot esculenta (cassava). RNAcentral describes it as "long non-coding RNA (MESC_LNC007895)". The record is from RNAcentral. Lineage: Eukaryota; Viridiplantae; Streptophyta; Magnoliopsida; Malpighiales; Euphorbiaceae.